UAACCUGCCUCUUAGCGGGGGAUAACUAUUGGAAACGAUAGCUAAUACCGCAUAAAAGUCGAUAUCGCAUGAUAUUGAUUUGAAAGGUGCAAUUGCAUCACUAAGAGAUGGACCUGCGUUGUACUAGCUAGUUGGUGAGGUAACGGCUCACCAAGGCGACGAUACAUAGCCGACCUGAGAGGGUGAUCGGCCACACUGGGACUGAGACACGGCCCAG
This 217-nucleotide ribosomal RNA is filed under the name uncultured bacterium. RNAcentral's name for it is "partial 16S ribosomal RNA". It matches the Rfam family "Bacterial small subunit ribosomal RNA", at positions 122 to 334 of the family's 1533-position model. The record is from RNAcentral.